UUUUAUGGAGAGUUUGAUCCUGGCUCAGGAUGAACGCUGGCGGCGUGCCUAAUACAUGCAAGUCGAGCGAACAGACGAGGAGCUUGCUCCUCUGACGUUAGCGGCGGACGGGUGAGUAACACGUGGAUAACCUACCUAUAAGACUGGGAUAACUUCGGGAAACCGGAGCUAAUACCGGAUAAUAUAUUGAACCGCAUGGUUCAAUAGUGAAAGACGGUUUUGCUGUCACUUAUAGAUGGAUCCGCGCCGCAUUAGCUAGUUGGUAAGGUAACGGCUUACCAAGGCAACGAUGCGUAGCCGACCUGAGAGGGUGAUCGGCCACACUGGAACUGAGACACGGUCCAGACUCCUACGGGAGGCAGCAGUAGGGAAUCUUCCGCAAUGGGCGAAAGCCUGACGGAGCAACGCCGCGUGAGUGAUGAAGGUCUUCGGAUCGUAAAACUCUGUUAUUAGGGAAGAACAAAUGUGUAAGUAACUAUGCACGUCUUGACGGUACCU
This 498-nucleotide ribosomal RNA is filed under the name Staphylococcus epidermidis. RNAcentral's name for it is "bacterial SSU rRNA". It matches the Rfam family "Bacterial small subunit ribosomal RNA", at positions 1 to 480 of the family's 1533-position model. Lineage: Bacteria; Bacillati; Bacillota; Bacilli; Caryophanales; Staphylococcaceae. The record is from RNAcentral.